AAUAAACAUAGGUAUAGUUUCAGUGUUCAACUUUAACCAUCCGUCUUAUUUAAAAUAUUUUUAUAAUUAGUAUUUUUAUUAUUGUUAGAUAAUAAAAUAUGAAUAGUACUUUUAUGCGUAACUUAACUUUUAAAAUUUUUUCAUAAAUUUUUCAAAUAAGACGAUGGUUAAAUAUUGGGCACGGGAAUUUUUAGCUGCACUUAUA
Molecule: non-coding RNA, 205 nt
Organism: Oryza glaberrima (African rice)
Lineage: Eukaryota; Viridiplantae; Streptophyta; Magnoliopsida; Poales; Poaceae
Source: Rfam